GGGGAUGUCAUGGUUUCGACAGGAGUAUGCUUGAUUUGGAAGGCAGUGGGUGAUUACCUACAAUCAAACAAAAAUAACUGGAAACAGAAAUUAUAACAACGCGGUGGCUUUCGCUGCCUAAAAGAGUCUAAAAAAGACUUGCGCGCGACUAAUUGAUUUGUCAUUGGUUGGUUAAAUCGCGUCAAACACAAUGACUACACUUAGUUUAAUCUAGGAAACUUCGUGGACAACUUAACUAGAUAAACCACCAGUACAUCUUGUCUGUCAGUAUGCUGUUGGUAAUAUGACAGAAUAAACUGUAGGCUUCCAAAUGAGAGGCGAUUUCUGGACGCGGGUUCGACUCCCGCCAUCUCCACCA
RNAcentral lists this transfer-messenger RNA (358 nucleotides) under Erysipelothrix sp. It matches the Rfam family "transfer-messenger RNA". From Rfam's summary of the family: Bacterial tmRNA, also known as 10Sa RNA or SsrA, is named for its dual tRNA and mRNA-like properties. Its role is to liberate the mRNA from a stalled ribosome. RNAcentral also lists the same sequence under 1 other name. Lineage: Bacteria; Bacillati; Bacillota; Erysipelotrichia; Erysipelotrichales; Erysipelotrichaceae. The record is from RNAcentral.